Molecule: ribosomal RNA, 459 nt
Filed under: uncultured bacterium
Lineage: Bacteria
Description: partial 16S ribosomal RNA
Rfam family: Bacterial small subunit ribosomal RNA
Source: RNAcentral
CCUCCGGGUGGCAGCAGUGAGGAAUAUUGGUCAAUGGACGAGAGCCUGAACCAGCCAAGUAGCGUGAGGGAGUACUGCCCUAUGGGUUGUAAACCUCUUUUGUCGGGGAGCAAAAGCCGGACGUGUCCGGCUGUGAGAGUACCCGAAGAAAAAGCAUCGGCUAACUCCGUGCCAGCAGCCGCGGUAAUACGGCGGGUGCGGGCGUUAUCCGGGUUUAUUUGGUUUAAAGGGUGCGCAGGCGGAUUUUUAAAGCAGCGGUGAAAUUCUGGGGGCCAAACCCCUCCCAGCCGUUGAAACUGGGGGUCUAGAGUGGGCGAGAGGUAUGCGGAAUGCGUGGUGUAGCGGUGAAAUGCAUAGAUAUCACGCAGAACCCCGAUUGCGAAGGCAGCAUACUGGUGCACAACUGACGCUGAGGCACGAAAGCGUGGGUAUCGAACAGGAUUAGAUACCCUAGUAGUC